GACUGUUGAGGAUAUAAACCUGCAACUGAUACAUAACAAAAUGUGUUUAAUUUACUUAAUGCCCGUUGUAACCAAAGUUCUCCCAUCGGUAAAUAUACUUCCGCCUUCCGGUGAAUGAAAAGUUUUGUCAGUCCAAAUUCUAACAGUGGACAGAACGAUUACCUGCAACAAAGAGACAAGAAUGUCUGCUUUACCUCCGGAAUGGUGGUUUGGAGAUUCCUCGUGCGAACCAGUGCCAAAAGUGCCAGUAAUACAAUAGGCCAAGCAAUUUCGAUGAGGAAUCGAACUGGUUGCCGUUUGCGCAAAGUAUAAUUUUUCCAUAUUAACAAUUUUAGCUGUUUCCCAAAAUUCAUCUUGCCGGGAUAAAAAUCAUAUCCAUAAAAUUUAUUAAUGUUGUUCCGUUCAAUCCGCACGUGGAACAGCACGAAGACCAGCUGUGACAAUAUGAAACGAGCGUGAUUAGAAAGUGAAAAUGUCGUGCAAAAAACGCCUAGAGCAAAUGGCAGUUAAACCGUGUGAUGUAAAA
Molecule: long non-coding RNA, 526 nt
Organism: Paramacrobiotus metropolitanus
Lineage: Eukaryota; Metazoa; Tardigrada; Eutardigrada; Parachela; Macrobiotidae
Exons: 3
Source: RefSeq, a predicted model, not a curated record